This 589-nucleotide ribosomal RNA is filed under the name uncultured bacterium. RNAcentral's name for it is "partial 16S ribosomal RNA". It matches the Rfam family "Bacterial small subunit ribosomal RNA", at positions 355 to 1375 of the family's 1533-position model. The record is from RNAcentral.
UGGGGAAUUUUGGACAAUGGGCGAAAGCCUGAUCCAGCAAUGCCGCGUGUGUGAAGAAGGCCUUCGGGUUGUAAAGCACUUUUGUCCGGAAAGAAAUCCUUGGCUCUAAUACAGUCGGGGGAUGACGGUACCGGAAGAAUAAGCACCGGCUAACUACGUGCCAGCAGCCGCGGUAAUACGUAGGGUGCAAGCGUUAAUCGGAAUUACUGGGCGUAAAGCGUGCGCAGGCGGUUUGCUAAGACCGAUGUGAAAUCCCCGGGCUCAACCUGGGAACUGCAUUGGUGACUGGCAGGCUAGAGUAUGGCAGAGGGGGGUAGAAUUCCACGUGUAGCAGUGAAAUGCGUAGAGAUGUGGAGGAAUACCGAUGGCGAAGGCAGCCCCCUGGGCCAAUACUGACGCUCAUGCACGAAAGCGUGGGGAGCAAAACAGGAUUAGAUACCCUGGUAGUCCACGCCCUAAAACGAUGUCAACUAGUUGUUGGGGGAUUCAUUUUCCUUAGUAACGUAGCUAACGCGUGAAGUUGACCGCCUGGGGAGUACGGUCGCAAGAUUAAAACUUAAAGGAAUUGACGGGGUCAUAGCUGUUUCCU